GGCAUCGUGGCCGAGUGGCUAGGCAGGGCUCUGCAAAAGCCUUUACAGCGGUUCGAAUCCGCUCGAUGCCU
This 71-nucleotide transfer RNA is filed under the name Flavobacteriaceae bacterium. RNAcentral's name for it is "tRNA-Cys". It matches the Rfam family "tRNA". Rfam says of the family: Transfer RNA (tRNA) molecules are approximately 80 nucleotides in length. Their secondary structure includes four short double-helical elements and three loops (D, anti-codon, and T loops). The record is from RNAcentral. Lineage: Bacteria; Pseudomonadati; Bacteroidota; Flavobacteriia; Flavobacteriales; Flavobacteriaceae.